ACAAAGCCCAGUGCAGGGCUUGACCUCACAAACCAUGAGAUCACGAUCUGAGCUGAAGUUGGAUGCUUAACCAACUAAGCCACCCAGGCACCCCCAAAACUGUUUUUAAAAGGUGACACAGAUGAGGGAGGGUAAGUAAUUUGUCAGAAUAAAGUUGAAGGGGGAGGAAGACAGUAUGCUGAGGAUGGCCAGAAAGGCUCAAGGGCCUGCUGGAGACUGAAUGCAGAGGAAUCUCCUCCAAAUCAGGAAAUGCCAGAUCCCUUCUGCUACCCAAGCAGUGCAGGAAUGUUGACCUUCUGCAGAAAUGAACUGGAGGACCUGUGGGCUUUGGGCAUCAAACAUAGCAGAAACUGGGGGUACAGAGAUGUCAGCAAGAUAGAAAUCAGGUGGACGUCUGUAGAACUGGCGAGAGCCAAGCCACUUUCUCCAACCUGGGCCCAGAGUCCCAGUGGCCAGAAUUCAUCCCCUAGACAAGAAAUUGGCAGAAUCCUCUGGAAAAGCUGAAUGACCAAGAUAAAAGACCUCACUCUUCAUGUCCUUCAGGAUGGAGGGGCUGCAAAUAGUGGGGGCCCCUCCUGGAAGACCAUCACCCAGCCAGCUCUGUCCUUGCACAUGGAGCUUCCACUUUUGAUACCUCUUUCUGCUGCAGUAAGAACAGGCAAGUAAAGAUCCAACAUUUGAGGACAGCGUGUAUACCUGUGUACUCCCACCCCGAUGAAGGCAUACAAUGCUUUUGUUUAAUUACCAGCUUUAGAGUCGUGUUUGACUUUUAAAACAUAUACAUAUAUUGCUUUGUUAAAAAAGAAAAGUUAAAGAAAGACAAAAGAGCCCCAUUGCUCUGAGGGGUUCUUUCAUCUCCAAACACACAUGGACUCCCUCGAGUGAGUGGUCCCGAUACAGCUUCAGCAUCCAUGUCAUACACCCAUGGGACCCCGUCAAAGUGAGCUGGGUGUGCAUGGAGGAUGGAGAAGGGACGUGGUGUCUGCAGCCCUACCUCCUGCGGCACCCGGGCUGGGUCUCAUGACCUUGUCCGGGCUAGUGGUGAAGGCUGUGGGGGAAACCCAGGGCCCAGGGGCUUGUUGAUUUGGUUAUAUAAAUGAGGGCUGACUGUGCAUGGAGAAGCCAAGAGAACCCCCAAGACUGAACUGAAGGUAUCCCUAUGGUCGCUUGGUUUUCUCAUCAACAGGCCCUUUCUGCCUGCAGUGAGUAGGGCCUCGCUGGGCUCUCUGGGAGAGCUGAGAGGCUGAGUGUGUUUCCCUUCCUCAGGAGCUUGAAGUGAGGUAGUCAGAUGAGGGAUAAGAUGGAGAGGAAGGGGCCCAGGCUGAUUUCUGGUGUCCCUGUUGUACAGCACACUAUGGCUGGGUGAGGGGGAUCAGUGAGGGUUUCCUUACAGAAGAGUGUGGUCUAGAAACAGCUGUGAGAGGAGCAAGCCAGUAGGGCAGUUAUCACAGUGUGAGCAGGGCCUUUUGGGGGGAGGGGUGUCGCCCUCCAGUGAUAGGUGGGGAGGCUGCUUGCUUCUCUGUACCGGUCUCAGUUGAGCUGGAGGGAGUGCGUCUGGAAGCGGACAACCAGCCUCGGCCUGUCCAAAUACAUUUCCCUGGGGCUCUCAGGUUGCUCAUAGAUUGUCGGCCCAGAGGCAGGUGGGUUCCCACUGAGGUUUCUGGUGGGAAACCAUUUCUGAGGGAAUGCUCUCGCUCUUGGGUUGACUUGGGAGGCCUGUGGGGAGAUAAGCCAUGGACGGUUUCCUACUUAAGGAGACAGGAUAGGUAGGCAUCUUCAGCAGCAGGAAUCCAGGAGGUGCAGGGUGGGUGCUCUGUGUUUCUGGGGUCAAUUUAACAAGUCCCCAAAUGCACCUUUCCUUCCUUAUCCACCCCCCCACUUCCUCUCUUUCAUUUGGUCAUGUUUAUUGAGUGUUGACUGUAUGUACCAUUUUUUUAAAAAGUUUAUUUAUUUAUUUUGAAAGAGUGAGUGGGGGAAGGGAAGAGAGAGAGAGGCAGAGAGAGUAGAUCUCAAGCAGACUCCACACCACCAGCGCAGACCUUGAUGUGGGGCUCCAACUCACAAAACCAUGAGAUCAUGAUCUGAGCUGAAAGCAAGGGUCCGAUGGUUAGGCGACUGAGUCAUUCAGGUGCCCCGACCGUAUGUGCCAUUAAUCCAUCCUCAGGGGAAAAGAGGGUAAAGACUCUGUCCUCAGAGACCCUAAUCCUAGGGGAGACAGGCUCUCAAUGAACCAUCAAGAGGCAGGCUGUACCAAUGCCCUGGUGAGAGUCUCAAGAGAAAGGCGGCAGAUGGAUUGCAACACGGAUUCCGAGGGAGCUGGUGUGGGAGACGCCAUUGUACUCAUUCAUUCCACAGUCCUCUAUCAGGCAGCAUCCCUGGACAAGUUCCUGCCAUCUGGGCUGGCCCUGAGAUAUGCAUAGAUGCUACUAGGCAAAAAAGGGAAGGUAUUCUAGGAAGGGGACAGGGAAAACUGUGCAGGAACAUGAGUGGGGUGGUGGGUUGGAAGUAAUUGUAGAAGGCCUGGAAUGAGAACAGACUGGACUUUAUUCCAUAGGUAAUAAGGAGACCUAUGCUCACUGGAGGAACUCUGGAAGUUAUAUAAAGUAUAAAGAAGAACCAGUAAUACUGAUGGACAUUUCCAGGCACGAAGGCUUUAUCUUCCUUCUCACUGUGGAUUAGUUUCUUGGAAGGAUUCCCAGGGGAGGGAAACUGAGGCACAAGAAGGCCAGAGGCAGAGUUUGAAUCCAGGUGGUGUGGCUGCAGGGCCAUUCUGUUUACCUCCUACCCAUUUGGACCCCAGCACAUGGAUAAAACGCAUGGACCAUGCCUGACGCUUGAUUGGUGUUGCUCACAGCCACCCGGCAGGGAAGAAGUGGACCCACACCUGAGAGACAACAAGAGUGCUUGGUCACAGGUAAAGUCCUACCUGUACCUACUGCCCCCUGGAGAACAGAGGUGGAGGGUGAGGGCUGGGACAAGGGCAGGGAGGUGAGGUGCCGGCGAAGGCUAGGUGCACAUCCUCUACAGCUCCUUCUCACAUCACCACUGGCCAUCCAGGGUGGGGGGACUGUGGGGUACGAGAGGCAGCUCAAAGGGGCCUGUGGCCUGCCGGAAGCACCUCUUCUAUGUGGAUCUCCAGGAUAUCAGCUAGUGGAGGCUGGGUCAUCUUGCCCACCCCAGGUUAACUACUGCACGGGACAGCAUGUCCAUCCACUGGGCCACAGGAUCUGUACUUCUAAUCACACCUCCUUCAUGUCCUUCCUUUCCCACUGUAAGGUGAACCCCGCCAUCUCCAGGCCUUCCUGUGUCUCCAAUAAGCUCAAUGCUGUCAGCUCCCUCUACGGCAAUGAGCAGAAGACACCUCACCAUGGCGGUGUGCAGGCAUGUUGGUGGAGAAUUGUGGUUGCCAGUGAGGCAAGGAUGGGUGGCGGUUCUUCCUGGGGCCUCACCCUGGCAUAAAAACUUGACUCCCUUGAGUAGGGGGAGCAGAAAUCAGGCAUGGGAGGGAAAAGAUCCACUUGGAAGCCCAGAGCACCAGAUCUUGCCUAAGGAUGCAUUGAACUCCUUGUGUGACAGGCAAGGCAUAGACUCUCCCUAAGCCUUGCUUUAUCCAUCUGCAAAGUGAAUCUGAAUUUUGAUUGACCUCACAGGAUGAGACAAGGACUUGGGAAUGGUACUGGCUUGGGUAGGAAAGGGUGGCUGGUUCCAUUCUGGGAGGGGCUGUUAUUGCUUGUGUCAUCCUCUCCUGCAGGGUCGUUCACUGCUGGGUCCCUGUGGACCACAUAGGCUGGGCACAGAGUCAGUCCUUGAUAGUACUGAAUCAAUAAUAAAUGAACUGGAGGCUUCUGUAGUCAUUCUUACCAGGCCAUGUCUGGAGGAAGCAGGAGGAAGGGUUUCAUGUCUUCCCUGCCUUCUUCCAUCUCCUCCACUGCUUGGAUCCCGAGUCCUAGCUUGGGGUCUUUCCCUCUCCCAGUUGGCUGGACAAUGGAUGGUGGGGGCUGUCCAUCUUAGAAGGUGGAUCACCAAUGGUGUUUAUGAAGCUUAGGGAAGUAGGUCACUGGCACAGCUGAGACCUUGCAAAGCCAAGGGGCCAGGGGCACCUGUGUCCCUGUGCAGCUGAGAGAGCAGUAAAGCAAAAGGUGUCUUUGAUCCUCACUCUUCUCCUUGACAAACUCAGCUGGAUCCCAGAUGAGAUCACCAGAGGUCUAAUGAAAUCAGAACAAGAACUUUGCCUUUCCUGUAAGCUACCACUGUCAACCAUGUAGUGGAAAGAGAAGUAAGUCUUCCUCUAUGGUCUAUUGUAGGUGUGUGGUGUUGCUUAGAUGAAAUGAAGCAAACAAGAAAGAAAAAACUCCUGCCAGAAAAUUCUUUAGUAUGUAAUCAAGGAGAAACCAUUUGGAACAUUUAAGAAUAGGUGUGAACUAGGGGCGCCUGGGUGGCGCAGUCGGUUGAGCGUCCGACUUCAGCCAGGUCACGAUCUUGUGGU
Molecule: long non-coding RNA, 4486 nt
Organism: Felis catus (domestic cat)
Lineage: Eukaryota; Metazoa; Chordata; Mammalia; Carnivora; Felidae
Exons: 3
Source: RefSeq, a predicted model, not a curated record